RNAcentral lists this long non-coding RNA (235 nucleotides) under Elaeis guineensis (African oil palm). RNAcentral's name for it is "long non-coding RNA (EGUI_LNC056317)". The record is from RNAcentral. Lineage: Eukaryota; Viridiplantae; Streptophyta; Magnoliopsida; Arecales; Arecaceae.
CACACCAUGCCACAAGAGGGGGCGGGCCCCUCUUGCAUUAUCCAAGGGAUUGGCGCCCCUUGGUCCUGCCAUAAAGGGAGGUAGGCGCCACCCUUCUUUCCAAUUAUUCCACACACACAUUAAGAGAUAAUGAGUAGAUAAUGAUGAGAUAAUGAGAAGAUAAUUUAGCCAACUAAUUGACUUAAUCCAAUCCUUUUGGGCUUAUAAUUAGGAGUCUAAUUAAAUUCAAAUGGAU